This 72-nucleotide transfer RNA is filed under the name Bos indicus (zebu cattle). It matches the Rfam family "tRNA". Rfam says of the family: Transfer RNA (tRNA) molecules are approximately 80 nucleotides in length. The record is from Rfam by way of RNAcentral. RNAcentral also lists the same sequence under 3 other names. Lineage: Eukaryota; Metazoa; Chordata; Mammalia; Artiodactyla; Bovidae.
UCCCUGGUGUCUCAGAUGGUAAAGCGUCUGCCUGCAAUGCAGAAGACCUGGGUUCGAUCCCUGGGUUGGGAA